CCUACGGGAGGCAGCAGUGAGGAAUAUUGGUCAAUGGGCUUACGCCUGAACCAGCCAAGUCGCGUGAGGGAAGACUGCCCUAUGGGUUGUAAACCUCUUUUGUCAGGGAGCAACGCCGGCUACGUGUAGCGUUAUCGAGAGUACCUGAAGAGAAAGCAUCGGCUAACUCCGUGCCAGCAGCCGCGGUAAUACGGAGGAUGCGAGCGUUAUCCGGAUUUAUUGGGUUUAAAGGGUGCGUAGGCGGAAUAUCAAGUCAGCGGUAAAAAUUCGGGGCUCAACCCCGUCGUGCCGUUGAAACUGAUGUU
RNAcentral lists this ribosomal RNA (305 nucleotides) under uncultured bacterium. Its description in RNAcentral is "bacterial SSU rRNA". It matches the Rfam family "Bacterial small subunit ribosomal RNA", at positions 338 to 640 of the family's 1533-position model. The record is from RNAcentral.